Molecule: ribosomal RNA, 301 nt
Filed under: uncultured bacterium
Lineage: Bacteria
Description: partial 16S ribosomal RNA
Rfam family: Bacterial small subunit ribosomal RNA
Source: RNAcentral
CAGCAGCCGCGGUAAUACGUAGGUGGCAAGCGUUGUCCGGAAUUAUUGGGCGUAAAGGGCUCGCAGGCGGUUUCUUAAGUCUGAUGUGAAAGCCCCCGGCUCAACCGGGGAGGGUCAUUGGAAACUGGGAAACUUGAGUGCAGAAGAGGAGAGUGGAAUUCCACGUGUAGCGGUGAAAUGCGUAGAGAUGUGGAGGAACACCAGUGGCGAAGGCGACUCUCUGGUCUGUAACUGACGCUGAGGAGCGAAAGCGUGGGGAGCAAACAGGAUUAGAUACCCCGGUAGUCCCUGUCUCUUAUAC